UGAGCUGGUCAGAAGUGAAGCGGCAACAGCUCAAAUUUGAAAUCUGGCCGCAAGGUCCGAGUUGUAAUUUGUAGAGGAUGCUUUUGGCGAGGUGACUUCCGAGUUCCCUGGAACGGGACGCCAUAGAGGGUGAGAGCCCCGUACGGUCGUGCCACCGAGCCUCUGUAAAGCUCCUUCGACGAGUCGAGUAGUUUGGGAAUGCUGCUCUAAAUGGGAGGUGUACGUCUUCUAAAGCUAAAUACCGGCCAGAGACCGAUAGCGCACAAGUAGAGUGAUCGAAAGAUGAAAAGCACUUUGAAAAGAGGGUUAAAAAGUACGUGAAAUUGUUGAAAGGGAAGCAUUCAUGACCAGACUUGGGCUUGGUUGAACAUCCGGCGUUCUCGCCGGUGCACUCUGCCAGCUCAGGCCAGCAUCAGUUUGCCCCGGGGGACAAAGGCGGUGGGAAUGUAGCUCCCUUCGGGGAGUGUUAUAGCCCGCCGUGUAAUGCCCUGGGGUGGACUGAGGUUCGCGCUUCGGCACGGAUGCUGGCGUAAUGGUCAUCAAUGACCCGUCUUGAAACACGGACCAAGGAGUCGUCUUCGUAUGCGAGUGUUCGGGUGUCAAACCCCUACGCGUAAUGAAAGUGAACGUAGGUGAGAGCUUCGGCGCAUCACCGACCGAUCCUGAUGUUCUCGGAUGGAUUUGAGUAAGAGCAUACGGGGCCGGACCCGAAAGAAGGUGAACUAUGCCUGUAUAGGGUGAAGCCAGAGGAAACUCUGGUGGAGGCUCGCAGCGGUUCUGACGUGCAAAUCGAUCGUCAAAUAUGGGCAUGGGGGCGAAAGACUAAUCGAACCUUCUAGUAGCUGGUUUCCGCCGAAGUUUCCCUCAGGAUAGCAGUGUUGAACUCAGUUUUAUGAGGUAAAGCGAAUGAUUAGGGACCCGGGGGCGCUAUUUAGCCUUCAUCCAUUCUCAAACUUUAAAUAUGUAAGAAGCCCUUGUUGCUUAAUUGAACGUGGGCAUUCGAAUGUAUCAACACUAGUGGGCCAUUUUUGGUAAGCAGAACUGGCGAUGCGGGAUGAACCGAACGCGAGGUUAAGGUGCCAGAGUAGACGCUCAUCAGACACCACAAAAGGUGUUAGUACAUCUUGACAGCAGGACGGUGGCCAUGGAAGUCGGAAUCCGCUAAGGACUGUGUAACAACUCACCUGCCGAAUGUACUAGCCCUGAAAAUGGAUGGCGCUCAAGCGUCUCACCCAUACCUCGCCCUCAGGGUUGAAAUGAUGCCCUGAGGAGUAGGCGGACGUAG
RNAcentral lists this ribosomal RNA (1285 nucleotides) under Sarocladium glaucum. RNAcentral describes it as "LSU rRNA". It matches the Rfam family "Eukaryotic large subunit ribosomal RNA", at positions 80 to 1394 of the family's 3401-position model. The record is from RNAcentral. Lineage: Eukaryota; Fungi; Ascomycota; Sordariomycetes; Hypocreales; Sarocladiaceae.